Molecule: ribosomal RNA, 448 nt
Filed under: uncultured bacterium
Lineage: Bacteria
Description: bacterial SSU rRNA
Rfam family: Bacterial small subunit ribosomal RNA
Source: RNAcentral
UGGGGAAUAUUGGACAAUGGGGGGAACCCUGAUCCAGCGAUGCCGCGUGGGUGAAGAAGGCCUUCGGGUUGUAAAGCCCUUUAGGUUGGGAAGAAGGGUGAUGGAGGAAAUGCCAUUACUUUGACGGUACCGACAGAAUAAGCACCGGCAAACUCUGUGCCAGCAGCCGCGGUAAUACAGAGGGUGCGAGCGUUAAUCGAAAUUACUGGGCGUAAAGGGCGCGUAGGCGGUUUAGUGAGUGGGAUGUGAAAGCCCUGGGCUUAACCUAGGAAGAGCAUACCAAACGACUAAACUGGAGUAGGGCAGAGGGUGGCGGAAUUUCCGGUGUAGCGGUGAAAUGCGUAGAGAUCGGAAGGAACGUCAAUGGCGAAGGCAGCCACCUGGGCUCAUACUGACGCUGAGGCGCGAAAGCGUGGGGAGCGAACAGGAUUAGAUACCCCGGUAGUCC